UGGGGCCCCCGGGCACUCUUACUGCUGACGCCUUUCGUCAGCCUCGCCCGUGUUGAAGGUCAGAGUCGCCUGGCCGCGACCUGCUCACGGCGCUCAGCCCGGGCAGAGCGUAUGUGGACAGACUCUGCGUCAGCCGGUGACGCUGGGAGCUUUUCUGUCCGAGGUUUUACGCGGGGGCUUUGGUUAGAGGGUGGGUGUGUGAGCACGUGGAAGUGGUUCUACUGGGAACUGAGAGUCUGAACAAAGUAGCAAGGCUGCCCGGACGGUGUGAGGGAGAAGGGAGGCCGGGGACGAGGCGUCCUGCGUCACGGACGCUCCUGGUACGGGGAGAAUGGCGGCCUGGCUUGCGGGGCAUCUCUUACCGGUCGGCAGCAAAGAGGGCUCCACCUUCAGUGGACGGAGGGCCAGCCAGACGAGCUCGGCGCGGCUUCUCCACUCGGUCCACCCUCUCUUCUCCGAGCUGACCUGGAAGGCGUGGUAAUGCUCCCUUCUCCAGUCACCUCUGGCUCCCAACAUUCUACACAUCUCAAAGUAAAUAAAUAAAUAAAUAAAGCCAAGGUAAAAACUUUCACCCCACGAUCCUUCAGCUCCACCCGAGUCCCCGAGCAUCCUCAUCUGUGUGUGCCCAUCACAGCUCCGGCGCAUUUUCCCUCGGGCGCAUGCAGGCCUCCCGGCACCGCGGGCCCUCGUUGGACUUCCUGCGAGAGAGGGGCCGACCAGGCUGCGGGCCGGGCGCCCUGAGCUCCUCCACCCACACCCCGUCCAUGGCACCCUUCACCAUCUCGCCUCAAACGGUCCUGUGUCACGUGGCCAUUUCAUCACUGUUCAUGGGAGGGGUGGUUUGGGGAAAGGCCGCAGUGACUAACACGGUAUUUGUAUUGUUUGUAGAGACUUUCCCAUCCUCUGGGUGGCAUUCCGGCUGUGAGGAGCUGCUGUGGCAGAAGACGGACCCAGAGGAAGGAGGCAGAUGUGCUGUCUCCCUGAGAGGCACUGUCUGAGGACCCGAGGAGGGGGCUCCGGCCCCAGGAGCGCCGCUCACCACCUCCGCAGCCCCCACCGGGGGGCUGACCCCCUCGCUGCCUGGUGAUUGCCCUUGUGACCGACGGCUCGGUGGUCCUCGCCUGGUAUUAAACAUGUUUUGAGAAGAACA
Molecule: non-coding RNA, 1150 nt
Organism: Vicugna pacos (alpaca)
Lineage: Eukaryota; Metazoa; Chordata; Mammalia; Artiodactyla; Camelidae
Source: RefSeq, a predicted model, not a curated record